Non-coding RNA from Cinara cedri, 662 nucleotides. Lineage: Eukaryota; Metazoa; Arthropoda; Insecta; Hemiptera; Aphididae. The record is from the annotation of a GenBank genome assembly.
CUUACGUCAUCAUCAUCAUCAUUUUUAUAUAAUUAAAUAAAAGUGUCGUAAAAUCUCAAAUAUAUAAUAGUGGAUAUGCCAAAAGCCUGUUCCACUAGAAGCCGAGGUAUUAUUCACCCAAAGUGUGCUCAGUCAGUUGCGCUUUGCCGACGAAUCGUAUAAUUACUAAUAUUCGAGUGUAUCACAAUUUCGUUACAAUUUGUUCAUUGUUAUUUAGUGCUAUAAUUAGUAUAUUAUUUUAUAGAUAGUGACUUGAUUUUCAAGAAUUUUUCCGACGAGAAAUUACAAUACUUUAUGAUAAAUGAGAAUGUCCAUACUAGGGGUGAGCAUUCGCUACUGCCACAUACACCCAAUAACACGCUUUCAAAUGUUCCUCUGAAAUACCCAAUCAAAGCAUUUGCAUGUUCUGAAAUGGUUGGUUUGUUUUCGAAAAUAUUUAUAUUCUAGAAUUACAUUUUUAACAUAUUUCUAGGUUUUUAUUGAUUUUUAUUGUAUGUUUGUUUUGUCCGGUUAUGUGCACAAUCGGAAACACAUGGUCGGGAACUGAGAUUCGUGGUGAAAUCGUUAAGCCCACAAACAAACGAAAAACAAAGCGAAAAUACAUAUUAUGUUAAAUUCAAAAUUGAAUUGGUUUUCAGAACAUUUUUCUCUCCCUUUCAAAU